GUCUUUGCUCACUCUGCAGGGUUUCUGCUCUUGUGGGAUUUUCAGGCUGUACUCUGUUGACUUUCUUCCUGAAUGUGUUCAGUGGUUUUCAGGUAAAGGACAUGUCCACAGCUUCUCCUCAGUAGACUGCAUUUGAUCAUGGAGCAGCAGCCAUGGCCGAGUAGAGAGGGUAGAGAGCCUUUUGUCCAGAGAGAAAAACAGGAGGAACUAAAGUCCAAGAGGAGC
Molecule: long non-coding RNA, 225 nt
Filed under: Corvus moneduloides (New Caledonian crow)
Lineage: Eukaryota; Metazoa; Chordata; Aves; Passeriformes; Corvidae
Description: lncRNA (ENSCMUG00000019356.1)
Source: RNAcentral